GAUGAACGCUGGCGGCAUGCCUAAUACAUGCAAGUCGAACGAGAGGAAGGAAAGCUUGCUUUCCUGAAUCUAGUGGCGAACGGGUGAGUAACACGUAGGUAACCUGCCCAUGUGCCCGGGAUAACUUCUGGAAACGGAUGCUAAAACCGGAUAGGUAGCAGACAAGCAUUUGACUGCUAUUAAAGUGGCCUUGGCCAUGAACAUGGAUGGACCUGCGGUGCAUUAGCUGGUUGGUGAGGUAACGGCCCACCAAGGCGACGAUCCAUAGCCGGCCCUGAGAGGGUGAACGGCCACAGUUGGGACUGAGACACCGGCCCAGACCUCCGUACGGGAGGCAGCAGGU
Molecule: ribosomal RNA, 343 nt
Filed under: uncultured bacterium
Lineage: Bacteria
Description: bacterial SSU rRNA
Rfam family: Bacterial small subunit ribosomal RNA
Source: RNAcentral